Molecule: ribosomal RNA, 546 nt
Filed under: uncultured marine picoplankton
Lineage: Eukaryota
Description: SSU rRNA
Rfam family: Eukaryotic small subunit ribosomal RNA
Source: RNAcentral
GUAUAUUUAAGUUGUUGCAGUUAAAAAGCUCGUAGUUGGAUUUCGGAUGGGUGCGACCGGUCCGCCGUUUGGGUGUGCACUGGUUGCGUCCAUCUUGUUGUCGGGGACGCGUUCCUGGCCUUAACUGGCUGGGACGUGGAGUCGGCGAAGUUACUUUGAAAAAAUUAGAGUGUUCAAAGCAGGCCUACGCUCUGAAUACAUUAGCAUGGAAUAACGCGAUAGGACUCUGGUCUUAUUGUGUUGGUCUUCGAGACCGGAGUAAUGAUUAAGAGGGACAGUUGGGGGCAUUCGUAUUUCAUUGUCAGAGGUGAAAUUCUUGGAUUUAUGAAAGACGAACUUCUGCGAAAGCAUUUGCCAAGGAUGUUUUCAUUAAUCAAGAACGAAAGUUGGGGGCUCGAAGACGAUCAGAUACCGUCCUAGUCUUAACUAUAAACCAUGCCGGCUAGAGAUCGGAGGUCGUUCAAUUUGUGACACCUUCAGCAUCUUGAGAGAAAUCAAAGCCUUUGGGUUCCGGGGGGAGUAUGGUCGCAAGGCUGAAACUUAAAG